RNAcentral lists this ribosomal RNA (760 nucleotides) under uncultured Mycobacterium sp. Its description in RNAcentral is "bacterial SSU rRNA". It matches the Rfam family "Bacterial small subunit ribosomal RNA", at positions 574 to 1332 of the family's 1533-position model. Lineage: Bacteria; Bacillati; Actinomycetota; Actinomycetes; Mycobacteriales; Mycobacteriaceae. The record is from RNAcentral.
GGUGGUUUGUCGCGUUGUUCGUGAAAUCUCACGGCUUAACUGUGAGCGUGCGGGCGAUACGGGCAGACUUGAGUACUGCAGGGGAGACUGGAAUUCCUGGUGUAGCGGUGGAAUGCGCAGAUAUCAGGAGGAACACCGGUGGCGAAGGCGGGUCUCUGGGCAGUAACUGACGCUGAGGAGCGAAAGCGUGGGGAGCGAACAGGAUUAGAUACCCUGGUAGUCCACGCCGUAAACGGUGGGUACUAGAUGUGGGUUUCCUUCCUUGGGAUCCGUGCCGUAGCUAACGCAUUAAGUACCCCGCCUGGGGAGUACGGCCGCAAGGCUAAAACUCAAAGAAAUUGACGGGGGCCCGCACAAGCGGCGGAGCAUGUGGAUUAAUUCGAUGCAACGCGAAGAACCUUACCUGGGUUUGACAUGCACAGGACGCCGGCAGAGAUGUCGGUUCCCUUGUGGCCUGUGUGCAGGUGGUGCAUGGCUGUCGUCAGCUCGUGUCGUGAGAUGUUGGGUUAAGUCCCGCAACGAGCGCAACCCUUGUCUCAUGUUGCCAGCGGGUAAUGCCGGGGACUCGUGAGAGACUGCCGGGGUCAACUCGGAGGAAGGUGGGGAUGACGUCAAGUCAUCAUGCCCCUUAUGUCCAGGGCUUCACACAUGCUACAAUGGCCGGUACAAAGGGCUGCGAUGCCGCGAGGUUAAGCGAAUCCUUUUAAAGCCGGUCUCAGUUCGGAUCGGGGUCUGCAACUCGACCCCGUGAAGUCGGAGU